UUUGUUCCGGAGAGUUCUCCUUCAUUGAUUAACAAAAGCAGGAAUAUGAUUUUUUCUCUCUCUCUCUCUCUCUCUCUCGCUCUCUCUCUCUCUCCCCCGGCCCUUUUCUAAAAGCCUGAAAUGUCAAGCCUUUUGAAAGCAGAUUAUUCUUCCUCCGUGCAAUGAAUGCAGCCCGAGGAUCCCUUUGUCUACAAUUAAAUAUUCCGGCAUAAAUAUAAAGGGAAAUCAGAGAUGGGGAAGAUUGACUCAUGGGAGGCUGGCGAGGUAGAUGUGCACUCUGAUAGUGCCAGUGGCUUUGCCUCUAAUUAAAUAUGCCACCGGGGCUCAAAGCAUUCGCCUGCCGCCACCGGCACGGCGAGCUGCCCCACGCCGUUGGCGAGAAAUAUCUCACAUCAUCAGUCUGUCCGCAGGCUUCCUCCCGGGCGUCCAAAAGGUACCGCGUAAUUGUUUUGGCGAUUGUUUGCGUCGGAGGGGAACGAAAGGUGAUACCUUCCGGGAAAUGCACAAAUGCCGAGAUGCAUCGAAUAUAAAAAUGGAAGGAGGGGAAAAAAAAGUUUUCUGCUGUUUUGCGAUCCGGACAGAUAAUUGCUGGGCACAAUGGGGAAAGUUCUGGAAAUGAUUUCUUGGGGGCUGCUGUUUGUCUUGACGCCGCUGCCUGGAGCUCUUUACAUAUUUAUGUCUCCAACUUUGUCACUCUCAGUGGUCUGUGUUACAUGUGGACUGCGUUUGUCUUGCUCUCGGUUUCACGCGCAGAGUCUUCUGGAGAAACUCUCUCCCGUCCACUUCCGUCCUGUAAUAUUACGCGUGUGAAACUGGAAGUGAUCUGGAAAAUUCCUUCGCGGCUUUACCGUCAGGCGAUGCUGCGUCAGGGAUGGCGGAGCCAGCGGGAAGUGAGCCGCUUUCAGAGCCGGGCCUGUUGCCACGGAGACGAUGGAAGCCGUGUCGCGCUGCAGUGUAGGGUGGCGGGAGAAGGUGUUUCAAAGGCAGGCCGAGCUCCGAGUGCCGUGGUGUGCUCCUUCAGCGCGCGCGGCGAAACCAAAGCAGCCAGUCGCCGGCCAAUCCUCGGACGCCCCCGGCUCCUUUCCUCCAGCUCGCCCUCGGGAUGUGAACCCCUCUCGCUCCUGCUCUGCGGACGUGUUCCUGCGCUGAGGAGACACCCCCUGCUGUCUGAAGAAGGACUCGACGGAGGGAUGUGACGCCGCGGUGCACGGAGGGGAGGUACCGGCUCCGCUUCCACCUUGGGGGGGAGGGGUGUCCGGGGCCUGGAAAACACCCUGGAUGUUCCUGAAGCUCUAGGCCUCGGAGAAACGGCUGGACAGAAGUAUGAUGCGUGCGGACGCUUGCCUUGUCCUCCAAAGCCACCUUGGUCAAGGUUUCGUGGCUGUUAAAGAGUUGCACUGCGACCAAAGGGUCCUUCAUUUGUACCGGUGGGGAGGGUGAUCCAAAUGAAAGUGCUCCAGCGAACGUCCAGCUCUUCGGGAAGGCAGUGCCGGUGCACGUGGCCUACUGGUGAAGUGUGAAUUUGGGUGGAGGACUCGCACCUACAGUACGCUGGGUGCUGCGGCCCUUGGAGAACAUGCCAGCGUUCUUCUCGGAUGAUGCUGCUGCUGCUGAAGAGCAAGGCUUCCUAGGGUUGAGGAGUUUGCUUCCAAAACCUAAGCAGGAGGAAGAGGAACAGAGGGCAGCUUCUAUCUUGAACUACUGCUGAGGUUCACUGCUGCCCACCUGAAGACACGGGCUGGACGCUCUGGGGACUCUGCUUUGGAUGUGAAGCGUGUCCUCGCGACCGCAGCAAGGCAGUGAUUCGCACUUCAUGAUGGAGUGUUUUAUAGACGUCCGCCUUGUCUGGACAGCGUCCAGAGCAAUCUGAGGUAAGACCCUACGCAAGGGACAAGGACAUAACACGGACGCUGGCUACUUGGGGUGAAGGUUCGGGCG
This 1938-nucleotide long non-coding RNA is filed under the name Scleropages formosus (Asian bonytongue). Its description in RNAcentral is "lncRNA (ENSSFOG00015026277.1)". Lineage: Eukaryota; Metazoa; Chordata; Actinopteri; Osteoglossiformes; Osteoglossidae. The record is from RNAcentral.